UACGUAGGGGGCAAGCGUUGUCCGGAUUUAUUGGGCGUAAAGAGCGUGUAGGCGGCCAGGUAGGUCGGUUGUGAAAACUGGAGGCUUAACCUUCAGACGUCGACCGAAACCAUCUGGCUAGAGUCCGGAAGAGGAGAGUGGAAUUCCUGGUGUAGCGGUGAAAUGCGCAGAUAUCAGGAAGAACACCCGUGGCGAAGGCGGCUCUCUGGGACGGUACUGACGCUGAGACGCGAAAGCGUGGGGAGCGAACAGG
RNAcentral lists this ribosomal RNA (253 nucleotides) under uncultured bacterium. RNAcentral's name for it is "partial 16S ribosomal RNA". It matches the Rfam family "Bacterial small subunit ribosomal RNA", at positions 524 to 776 of the family's 1533-position model. The record is from RNAcentral.